Molecule: long non-coding RNA, 284 nt
Filed under: Panax ginseng (ginseng)
Lineage: Eukaryota; Viridiplantae; Streptophyta; Magnoliopsida; Apiales; Araliaceae
Description: long non-coding RNA (PGIN_LNC012001)
Source: RNAcentral
UCGGACCCUAACGAAUCUCGGUUUCACAGAACUGUUAAGAAGUGCUACAUCACGGGGUUAAUGUGCAAACCGUUUCUCGAUUGAGUUGGUGCAACCAUUUAAAAAUACCAACUGGCGACUCUUACAGUCCAAUCGUCGACAUAUACAUGUCGGACCUUUUCACAACUUGUUUUUUCAAACAAAUCUCACCUAACAUGAGAACACCAAAAGACAAGAACAGAAAAGGGACAAUAAAAAUCCCGACGUCGAUAGGUGGCGACUCUGCUGGGGACAUCCAGUAAGAG